This 497-nucleotide ribosomal RNA is filed under the name uncultured bacterium. Its description in RNAcentral is "partial 16S ribosomal RNA". It matches the Rfam family "Bacterial small subunit ribosomal RNA", at positions 28 to 507 of the family's 1533-position model. The record is from RNAcentral.
GAUGAACGCUGGCGGCGUGCCUAAUACAUGCAAGUCGAGCGAACGGACGAGAAGCUUGCUUCUCUGAUGUUAGCGGCGGACGGGUGAGUAACACGUGGAUAACCUACCUAUAAGACUGGGAUAACUUCGGGAAACCGUAGCUAAUACCGGAUAAUAUUUUGAACCGCAUGGUUCAAAAGUGAAAGACGGUCUUGCUGUCACCUAUAGAUGGAUCCGCGCUGCAUUAGCUAGUUGGUAAGGUAACGGCUUACCAAGGCAACGAUGCAUAGCCGACCUGAGAGGGUGAUCGGCCACACUGGAACUGAGACACGGUCCAGACUCCUACGGGAGGCAGCAGUAGGGAAUCUUCCGCAAUGGGCGAAAGCCUGACGGAGCAACGCCGCGUGAGUGAUGAAGGUCUUCGGAUCGUAAAACUCUGUUAUUAGGGAAGAACAUAUGUGUAAGUAACUGUGCACAUCUUGACGGUACCUAAUCAGAAAGCCACGGCCAACUACGUG